RNAcentral lists this ribosomal RNA (313 nucleotides) under uncultured Winogradskyella sp. RNAcentral describes it as "bacterial SSU rRNA". It matches the Rfam family "Bacterial small subunit ribosomal RNA", at positions 28 to 334 of the family's 1533-position model. The record is from RNAcentral. Lineage: Bacteria; Pseudomonadati; Bacteroidota; Flavobacteriia; Flavobacteriales; Flavobacteriaceae.
GAUGAACGCUAGCGGCAGGCCUAACACAUGCAAGUCGGACGGUAACAGGAAAGAGCUUGCUCUUUUGCUGACGAGUGGCGCACAGGUGCGUAACGCGUAUACAAUCUACCUUUUACAGGGGGAUAGCCUUUAGAAAUGAAGAUUAAUACCCCAUAGUAUCUAAAUUUCGCAUGUUAUUUAGAUUAAAAUUUCGGUGGUAAAAGAUGAGUAUGCGUUCUAUUAGCUAGAUGGUAAGGUAACGGCUUACCAUGGCGACGAUAGAUAGGGGCCCUGAGAGGGGGAUCCCCCACACUGGUACUGAGACACGGACCAG